This 254-nucleotide ribosomal RNA is filed under the name uncultured bacterium. RNAcentral's name for it is "partial 16S ribosomal RNA". It matches the Rfam family "Bacterial small subunit ribosomal RNA", at positions 524 to 777 of the family's 1533-position model. The record is from RNAcentral.
UACGAAGGGGGCUAGCGUUGCUCGGAAUCACUGGGCGUAAAGCGCACGUAGGCGGACUCUUAAGUCGGUGGUGAAAUCCUGGAGCUCAACUCCAGAACUGCCUUCGAUACUGAGAGUCUCGAGUCCGGGAGAGGUGAGUGGAACUGCGAGUGUAGAGGUGAAAUUCGUAGAUAUUCGCAAGAACACCAGUGGCGAAGGCGGCUCACUGGCCCGGUACUGACGCUGAGGUGCGAAAGCGUGGGGAGCAAACAGGG